UACAGAGGGGGCGAGCGUUAUUCGGAAUUAUUGGGCGUAAAGGGCGCGUAGGCGGCCUUUCAAGUGACGGGUGAAAUCCCUCGGCUUAACCGAGGAACUGCCUGUCAGACUGGAAGGCUUGAGACCGGGAGAGGUGAGUGGAAUUCCCAGUGUAGCGGUGAAAUGCGUAGAUAUUGGGAGGAACACCAGUGGCGAAGGCAGAUCUCUGGGCCGUAACUGACGCUGAGGAGCGAAAGCGUGGGGAGCGAACAGG
RNAcentral lists this ribosomal RNA (253 nucleotides) under uncultured bacterium. RNAcentral describes it as "partial 16S ribosomal RNA". It matches the Rfam family "Bacterial small subunit ribosomal RNA", at positions 524 to 776 of the family's 1533-position model. The record is from RNAcentral.